This 497-nucleotide ribosomal RNA is filed under the name uncultured bacterium. Its description in RNAcentral is "partial 16S ribosomal RNA". It matches the Rfam family "Bacterial small subunit ribosomal RNA", at positions 28 to 507 of the family's 1533-position model. The record is from RNAcentral.
GAUGAACGCUGGCGGCGUGCCUAAUACAUGCAAGUCGAGCGAACAGACGAGGAGCUUGCUCCUCUGACGUUAGCGGCGGACGGGUGAGUAACACGUGGAUAACCUACCUAUAAGACUGGGAUAACUUCGGGAAACCGGAGCUAAUACCGGAUAAUAUAUUGAACCGCAUGGUUCAAUAGUGAAAGACGGUUUUGCUGUCACUUAUAGAUGGAUCCGCGCCGCAUUAGCUAGUUGGUAAGGUAACGGCUUACCAAGGCAACGAUGCGUAGCCGACCUGAGAGGGUGAUCGGCCAUACUGGAACUGAGACACGGUCCAGGCUCCUACGGGAGGCAGCAGUAGGGAAUCUUCCGCAAUGGGCGAAAGCCUGACGGAGCAACGCCGCGUGAGUGAUGAAGGUCUUCGGAUCGUAAAACUCUGUUAUUAGGGAAGAACAAAUGUGUAAGUAACUAUGCACGUCUUGACGGUACCUAAUCAGAAAGCCACGGCUAACUACGUG